Long non-coding RNA from Thalassophryne amazonica, 109 nucleotides. RefSeq lists it as uncharacterized. The record is from RefSeq and is a predicted model, not a curated record. Lineage: Eukaryota; Metazoa; Chordata; Actinopteri; Batrachoidiformes; Batrachoididae. The transcript has 3 exons.
GGCUUUCUUCUUGGCAGUGUUAUGACUCAACAAUUGAAGUGAGCAAUAUGAUCCUACAUGAAAUAAGUAGCUAAGGCAUUAAUGUAGAUCAGGUGUGAUGCAUUAUAAU